AUGAUCCAGAGUACCACGGGACACGUGAAACCCUGUGGGAAGCAGGAGGGACCACCCUCCAAGGCUAAAUACUACCUAGUGACCGAUAGCGUAUAGUACCGUGAGGGAAAGGUGAAAAGAACCCCGGGAGGGGAGUGAAAUAGAACCUGAAACCCUGCACUUACAAGCUGUGGAAGCACAUUUCUUGUGUGACCGCGUACUUUUUGUAGAACGGGCCAACGAGUUACGUUAAGUAGCAAGGUUAAGCACUUAAGGUGUGGAGCCGUAGCGAAAGCGAGUUUUAACUGAGCGUUCAGUUACUUGACGUAGACCCGAAACCGGGCGACCUACCCAUGAGCAGGAUGAAGCGAAAGUAAAAUUUCGUGGAGGUCCGAACCCACGAGCGUUGAAAAGCUCGGGGAUGACUUGUGGGUAGCGGUGAAAUUCCAAUCGAGCCCGGAGAUAGCUGGUUCUCCCCGAAAUAGCUUUAGGGCUAGCCUCAAGGUGAGAGAUACGGAGGUAGAGCACUGAAUGUCCUAGGGGGUAUUGCACCUACCGAAGACUAUCAAACUCCGAAUGCCGUCAUCUUAUACUUGGGAGUCAGACUGUGGGUGAUAAGAUUCAUAGUCGAAAGGGCAACAGCCCAGAUCGUCAGCUAAGGUCCCUAAAUGUAAGUUAAGUGGUAAAGGAUGUGGGAUUGCACAGACAACCAGGAUGUUGGCUUAGAAGCAGCCACUCAUUCAAAGAGUGCGUAAUAGCUCACUGGUCGAGUGAUCCUGCGCCGAAGAUUUCCGGGGCUAAAACUUACUACCGAAGCUACGGCAUCAGUAAUGAUGGGUAGGGGAGCUUCCCAUACGGGUUGAAGCAUGACCGUAAGGACAUGUGGACAGUAUGGGAGUGAGAAUGUUGGCAUGAGUAGCGAGAUGUGGGUGAGAAUCCCACAGGCCGUAAACCCAAGGUUUCCAGGGGAAGGUUCGUCCGCCCUGGGUUAGUCGGGACCUAAGCUGAGGCCGAAAGGCGUAGGUGAUGGACAACAGGUUGAUAUUCCUGUACUACCGAUAACCGUUUGAGAGAAGGGAUGACACAGUAGGAUAAGCUAAGCACACUGUUGGUUAUGUGUGCCCAAGCAUUGAGGCAGUCAAAGUAGGCAAAUCCGCUUUGAUAAUGCUGGGAUGUGAUGGGGAGCGAAAUUUAGUAGCGAAGUAGCUGAUUUCACACUGUCAAGAAAAGUCUCUAUCGAGGUUAAAGGUACCCGUACCGCAAACCGACACAGGUGGGUGAGGAGAGUAUCCUAAGGCCAGCGAGAGAACUGUUGUUAAGGAACUCGGCAAAAUGACCCCGUAACUUAGGGAUAAGGGGUGCCACCAUCAGGUGGCCGCAGAGAAUAGGCCCAAGCGACUGUUUACCAAAAACAUAGGUUUCUGCUAAGUCGCAAGACGAUGUAUAGGAGCUGACGCCUGCCCGGUGCUGGAAGGUUAAGGGGAUCUGUUAGAGCAAUCGAAGCAGUGAACUUAAGCCCCAGUAAACGGCGGCCGUAACUAUAACGGUCCUAAGGUAGCGAAAUUCCUUGUCGGGUAAGUUCCGACCCGCACGAAAGGCGUAACGAUUUGGGCACUGUCUCAACAACAGACUCGGUGAAAUUGUAAUUCCGGUGAAGAUGCCGGAUACCUGCGACAGGACGGAAAGACCCCAUGGAGCUUUACUGUAGCUUGACAUUGGGUCUUGGUACUACAUGUACAGGAUAGGUGGGAGGCUUUGAAACCAGGACGCCAGUUUUGGCGGAGCCAUCCUUGGGAUACCACCCUUGUAGUACUGGGACUCUAACCAUAGGCCAUGAAUCUGGUCUUGGGACACUGUCAGGUGGGCAGUUUGACUGGGGCGGUCGCCUCCCAAAAGGUAACGGAGGCGCUCAAAGGUUCUCUCAGUACGGUCGGAAAUCGUACGUAGAGUGUAAAGGCAAAAGAGAGCUUGAUUGCAAGACAUACAGGUCGAGCAAGGAUGAAAAUCGGACUUAGUGAUCCGGUGGUUCUGCGUGGAAGGGCCAUCGCUCAACGGAUAAAAGCUACCCUGGGGAUAACAGGCUUAUCUCCCCCAAGAGUCCACAUCGACGGGGAGGUUUGGCACCUCGAUGUCGGCUCAUCACAUCCUGGGGCUGUAGUAGGUCCCAAGGGUUGGGCUGUUCGCCCAUUAAAGUGGUACGCGAGCUGGGUUCAGAACGUCGUGAGACAGUUCGGUCCCUAUCCGUCGCAGGCGUAGGAAAUUUGAGAAGACCUGUCCUUAGUACGAGAGGACCGGGAUGGACGUACCUCUGGUGUACCAGUUGUUCUGCCAAGGGCAUGGCUGGGUAGCUAUGUACGGAAUGGAUAAGCGCUGAAAGCAUCUAAGCGCGAAGCCAACUUCAAGAUAAGAUUUCCCACCGCAAGGGUAAGA
RNAcentral lists this ribosomal RNA (2409 nucleotides) under Clostridioides difficile. Its description in RNAcentral is "23S ribosomal RNA". It matches the Rfam family "Bacterial large subunit ribosomal RNA", at positions 402 to 2833 of the family's 2925-position model. Lineage: Bacteria; Bacillati; Bacillota; Clostridia; Peptostreptococcales; Peptostreptococcaceae. The record is from RNAcentral.